AUCCUUUUUUGAAAACAACUUCCAAAAAUAAUUAUUAAAUUAGGAAAUAAAUAAAAAUAUUUAGUAUUUACACAGUACUUUUCCCAAAGAAAAUUACAAAGAAAAUCAUCAGUUUUUCACUAUAAAUACCAGCAUCACUCAAGCACAAAAUUACUCAUCUCUCUCACUUAUCAUUUUCUCUCAAAUUCCACUCAUUAAAACACACACACACACACAAUGAAAACACUUCCAUUUUCUGCCAUUUUGCUUGUUCUUCUCUUCAUUUCUGCUGGCACUGAGUUAAAGAUGGCAAAUGCAAUAGGGAGUUGUGAUGUGUUUGGGCACAGUGGAGGGUGUGAAAUAAAUGAAUGCUUCAAUGGAUGUAGGGCCAAGUUGGGACAAGACGCUCAUGGAUUUUGCUACACUAUCAAAACUCCUAAUGAUACUUGCAUGUGUCGUCAUCCUUGUUAAUUUAUUUAAGAAAAUUAAUAAUUAAUUUCCCUUUAGGAUAUUAUUUUUGGGUUUUUAUUUCUAUAGUUGUGUUUAUGUAUUUGGUAUCUAGUUUUUAUCAAAUAAAUUUAAGUUUUUAGAGUUUUAA
Molecule: long non-coding RNA, 577 nt
Organism: Gossypium arboreum
Lineage: Eukaryota; Viridiplantae; Streptophyta; Magnoliopsida; Malvales; Malvaceae
Exons: 2
Source: RefSeq, a predicted model, not a curated record